ACGUUGACAACCGUAACCAUGGUCGCCGAGGGUAUAUAAAUGCUGCACAAGGUUCCAAACGUCCGUUUACACUUGCUCGUGGACUUGUUUCGACCUGCUCCAACCUCAGCCUGUGGAAAGCUAAGUUUUGCAAAACAUUUUACUAAAAGCGGAUUUAAUUUGAGAGCACAAGUACUUCAUCUGUGGAUCGUUUGUACUUGUUUUUGUUUUUCAAGUUUGAAGAUGGCUCGCCGUGGACCCGGACUCCCCGACUGUCACCUGGACUUCGCUGCAGUGCUGCUGUCUCCGGUCACCCUGCAUGUUUCUAAGGUACAGUGUUCAGCAGUCUGAUGGCCUGAU
Molecule: long non-coding RNA, 339 nt
Organism: Maylandia zebra (zebra mbuna)
Lineage: Eukaryota; Metazoa; Chordata; Actinopteri; Cichliformes; Cichlidae
Source: RefSeq, a predicted model, not a curated record